RNAcentral lists this ribosomal RNA (459 nucleotides) under uncultured bacterium. RNAcentral's name for it is "partial 16S ribosomal RNA". It matches the Rfam family "Bacterial small subunit ribosomal RNA", at positions 338 to 795 of the family's 1533-position model. The record is from RNAcentral.
CCUACGGGUGGCAGCAGUGAGGAAUAUUGGUCAAUGGCCGAGAGGCUGAACCAGCCAAGUCGCGUGAGGGAAGACGGCCCUACGGGUUGUAAACCUCUUUUGUCGGGGAGCAAAGCGAACCACGUGUGGUUCAUUGAGAGUACCCGAAGAAAAAGCAUCGGCUAACUCCGUGCCUGCAGCCGCGGUAAUACGGGGGAUGCGAGCGUUAUCCGGAUUUAUUGGGGUUAAAGGGUGCGCAGGCGGGGGUGCAAGUCAGCGGUCAAAUUGCGGGGCUCAAACCCGUACUGCCGUUGAAACUGCAUCCCUUGAGUGCGCGAGAAGUAUGCGGAAUGCGGGGUGUAGCGGUGAAAUGCAUAGAUAUCACGAGGAACCCCGAUUGCGAAGGCAGCCGGCCGGGGUGCGACUGACGCUGAGGCUCGAAGGUGCGGGUAUCAAACAGGAUUAGAUACCCCGGUAGUC